RNAcentral lists this ribosomal RNA (254 nucleotides) under uncultured bacterium. RNAcentral describes it as "partial 16S ribosomal RNA". It matches the Rfam family "Bacterial small subunit ribosomal RNA", at positions 524 to 776 of the family's 1533-position model. The record is from RNAcentral.
CACGUAGGGGGCGAGCGUUGUCCGGAAUCAUUGGGCGUAAAGAGCUCGUAGGCGGCUCGGUAAGUCGGGUGUGAAACCCCCAGGCUCAACCUGGGGACGCCACCCGAUACUGCUGUGGCUAGAGUCCAGUAGGGGAGUGUGGAAUUCCCGGUGUAGCGGUGAAAUGCGUAGAUAUUGGGAGGAACACCAGUGGCGAAGGCGGCUCACUGGACCGGAACUGACGCUGAGGCGCGAAAGCGUGGGGAGCAAACAGG